Molecule: microRNA precursor, 92 nt
Filed under: Canis lupus dingo (dingo)
Lineage: Eukaryota; Metazoa; Chordata; Mammalia; Carnivora; Canidae
Description: mir-8799 microRNA precursor family
Rfam family: mir-8799 microRNA precursor family
Source: Rfam by way of RNAcentral
GGGGGGAGCACCGGAUCCUGGGCUGUGUCCCCCAGUGCCCUGGGCUCCGGGGCCUGCACCGCUGGAAUCACUCCCGGGCGGUGCAGCCCCCU